GUAGGUAAGACCCCUGGAAGAACACCAGGUAGAUAGGCUCGGGGUGGAAGCGCGGCAACGUGUGGAGCUGACGAGUACUAAUCGGUCGAGGGCUUAUCCUAA
RNAcentral lists this ribosomal RNA (102 nucleotides) under Cohnella fermenti. Its description in RNAcentral is "Cohnella sp. CC-MHH1044 partial 23S ribosomal RNA". It matches the Rfam family "Bacterial large subunit ribosomal RNA", at positions 2824 to 2925 of the family's 2925-position model. The record is from RNAcentral. Lineage: Bacteria; Bacillati; Bacillota; Bacilli; Caryophanales; Paenibacillaceae.